RNAcentral lists this small RNA (790 nucleotides) under Pongo abelii (Sumatran orangutan). RNAcentral describes it as "retained intron". The record is from RNAcentral. Lineage: Eukaryota; Metazoa; Chordata; Mammalia; Primates; Hominidae.
GGGCCUCCUGGUCCCCCUGGGCCCCCAGCCCCUGUUGGGCCACCCCAUGCCCGGAUCUCCCAGCAUGGAGACCCAUUGCUAUCCAACACCUUCACUGAGACCAACAACCACUGGCCCCAGGGACCCACUGGGCCUCCAGGCCCUCCAGGGCCCAUGGGUCCCCCUGGGCCUCCUGGCCCCACAGGUGUCCCUGGGAGUCCUGGACACAUAGGACCCCCAGGCCCCACUGGACCCAAAGGAAUCUCUGGCCACCCAGGAGAGAAGGGCGAGAGAGGACUGCGUGGGGAGCCUGGCCCCCAAGGCUCUGCUGGGCAGCGGGGGGAACCUGGCCCUAAGGGAGACCCUGGUGAGAAGAGCCACUGGGGGGAGGGGUUGCACCAACUACGCGAGGCUUUGAAGAUUUUAGCUGAGAGGGUUUUAAUCUUGGAAACAAUGAUUGGGCUCUAUGGCUCCUAGCUUACAGAGCUUCCUGCAGCAGCAGGCUCAGCUGGAGCUCCUGGCCAGACGGGUCACCCUCCUGGAAGCCAUCAUCUGGCCAGGUAAUGGCAGGGCGGGCAGGCAGGGGCAGCCUCUUCCAGGAAGGGCCUGGAAAAGGCCUGGGCAUGCAGAAGGUGCCUUCCGAUGCUUGGCCCAGGCCAGCGGACACUCGUUCUUCAUCCAGCCAGCCAGCCAGCAAAUGGUGCCUGGCAGAGAGAAGGCUCUGGUCACUCGAGUGAAUGAGCACCUGCUCUGUGCCAGGCACCUUGUUGGGACAGGCUCCACAAGAUAAGACAGACAUAGUCCUGCCCUU